GAUGAACGCUAGCGGCAGGCUUAAUACAUGCAAGUCGUGGGGCAGCAUGGGUGUAGCAAUACAUCUGAUGGCGACCGGCAAACGGGUGCGGAACACGUACACAACCUUCCUUUUAGUGGAGAAUAGCCCAGGGAAACUUGGAUUAAUACUCCGUAACAUAUAGAAGUGGCAUCACUUUUAUAUUAUAGCAGCAAUGCGCUAGAAGAUGGGUGUGCGGCUGAUUAGAUAGUUGGCGGGGUAACGGCCCACCAAGUCGACGAUCAGUAACUGGUGUGAGAGCACGACCAGUCACACGGGCACUGAGACACGGGCCCGACUCCUACGGGAGGCAGCAGUAAGGAAUAUUGGUCAAUGGACGCAAGUCUGAACCAGCCAUGCCGCGUGGAGGAUGAAGGUCCUCUGGAUUGUAAACUUCUUUUAUCUGGGAAGAAAUCCAUUUUUUCUAAAAUGGUUGACGGUACCAGAUGAAUAAGCACCGGCUAACUCCGUGC
RNAcentral lists this ribosomal RNA (491 nucleotides) under uncultured bacterium. Its description in RNAcentral is "bacterial SSU rRNA". It matches the Rfam family "Bacterial small subunit ribosomal RNA", at positions 28 to 508 of the family's 1533-position model. The record is from RNAcentral.